Molecule: long non-coding RNA, 2284 nt
Organism: Cylas formicarius (sweet potato weevil)
Lineage: Eukaryota; Metazoa; Arthropoda; Insecta; Coleoptera; Brentidae
Exons: 4
Source: RefSeq, a predicted model, not a curated record
CACCUCUUCUAUGAAAUCAAUAUACGUAGUCCCCCUUCUAGUCGCUAGGUGGCACCACAGCUUUAAAGCAGAGCCAAAAAACUGUGGAAUAACUUACCAUGGACGGUAUAUUCGCCAUCUAUGGUCUUAACCUCAUUCCUCUUUUUGUGCUUUGGUGGCACAUGUUCAUUUUUAUUCGGCGUCGGUGUUUUCAGCUUUUUUCAGCGUUUUUGGAAGUUAAAUGGAGAAGUACAAGUGAGAUUUACGUUAUUCCUUAUCGGAUGAAGAAAGAACCUACCUACGACGAAAGAUUAAAUCUUUCCAUCCGCGAUUACAUAAUCGCUAGUGGCGUGGUUCCCAUCAACGAGAUUUUCUUACAAUUGGGAGACGAUUUCUUCAUCGUCCGGGUUCCGAUCGGAAUCCCCAGAACUCGAAAGACCCCCCAUCUUUCCCACUUAUACGACAGCAGUCGUAUGUAAGUGUUUCGCAAUUGGAAGCAAUCCUUUUGUGAGGGGGUCGGCCAUACAUAUGGUUUUAUAUUUUUUCGACAUCGAAAAAAUAGAGUUUUCUGGCUCGUCCGGCUAUGGAUGAGGCGCCCGGGAUACUGGGACAUAAUGAACAAUUUUUUAUGGCUGUUGGAAUGCAUUUACUCCAUCGUAAGUAUAUUUUUUAGGCCCUUCAAUUAAUUCUGAUGUCAUUGUUGAGCCCCUUGAGACGGAUUUAAAGCAAAAUGGCCUUUAAGCUAUGGGGUCGAUAGUCCCAACACAAAGUUUGAUGUGUCAUGACAUUUUGGCAAGUCAGAUUAAUACCUUUUUGAAAUCCGGUGUGUCCGAAGAUUGUCUCAGUAACCUUUUGCGUUGAUAUCCUGUGCCGAAGAAUUGCCCGCUCAAUAACUCUCCUAAAUUGAAUGUGCAGAUGAAAUCUGCGAUCAACAAAGGUGGAAAGAAAAGGGAUGAGAGACUGACUGCAACAAGGGGUGCUUUGAUGGUGGUUGGUAGGACGCUCUUGACCUUGCUUUUGAAACCGGUUAAGGAUGAGUAGUACUUACUUCUCAUCGAAAUGUUGAGUAAUGCAAUAUUUGUUUUAAGCAAAAUACACCAUUUAGGUUCAGUAUAUAGAAGUUCAGCCGCGUUAAGCCUUUCGCUGGUCUCAAAUGAAAUGCAGCCUUGUAUGAAGGAAGUGCUCGUUGAUGCUUCUUUGCACUCUUGUUUAUAUGGAGAAGAUUUGGCUGAUAGGCUCAAAUCAAUCAGAUUAGCUGCAGAUUAGUGGCCGAGUUAAAGUCAGGUGCAUCCGGAACAAGGCUUUUAUAGCAUACAAAUUUAAACUCGACCGUCCCACUUCGUUCCCGGAAGUUGCAAGGCUGAAGUGGGUGAAAGUCAUUGUACCCUCAAAAGAGGGAAUACAGGAAGGUUCGAGAGGAAAGGGGGUGGAGUUGUGUCCCCAGGAAAAAAUAUUUACAGAAUCCUGAAUGCCCUGUAAGGCAGCAAUGUUACAAACUUGAGAUUUUCUCAGAUGGUACUCCUUUGGGUUGGGGAAUUGUGCCAGAGGACUUUGGAGUCCUAGGGAAGCUCAGUUUCAUAUUAAUGCACUAGAAUUAACUGCGGCCUCAUUUGGUCUCUAAUGCUUCGCCUCGUAUUUGACUAACUGCGAGACACUUUUGAGGAUUGAUAACACAACUGCUAUUUUGUAUGAAAAUAGAAUAGGAUCCGGAGGCAUCUAAUGAAGACGCGUUUACUGUUUUUUGGAGCGACAGUUUCUUCUAUGUUUUCCCCCCGUUUUGCUUGUUGCCACUUGUUUUACGAAAAAUCAAGGCUUAUUGAGCUACAGGGAUCGCAGUAAUCCCUUACGGGCACAGCCAGCAAUGACAAAUUACCUUCUCCUUUUGACAGGAGAGGUCAUCCUGGCUGCAGGGAUUUUGUCAGGCAAGCAUUCCAGAAGAUUUGCUGGAUAUUUUUCUAUCAUCUGUUCAGAGCGCUACCUUGAGGCAUUUAAUACCUGCAUGCAUUUAAACUUUGGUGGAGCUUCUACGAAAGGAGGGGAGUGGAGUGUUAUUACUUCUCACCUAGGCUGUAUUAGAUUUCCUUACUAUUCAUUUUAGGCAAGGCAAGUCCUAUGGCUCAUUGAGUUCUUUCAGUGCAGCACGGCCUUAUUUUUGGAUCAGAUUUAUUUAACAAUGCAAAUCUAACUAGGUUUUUUAAGGUGUUUAUAAUCUAAGGCCAAGUAAACCAAGAUAUAACAGCACUUGGGGCCCUAGUUAUGUCCCUGACUUUGUAAAAGGGUUACGUUCUAAUGACUUGUCAUUAAA